RNAcentral lists this transfer RNA (74 nucleotides) under Loxodonta africana (African savanna elephant). It matches the Rfam family "tRNA". Rfam says of the family: Transfer RNA (tRNA) molecules are approximately 80 nucleotides in length. Their secondary structure includes four short double-helical elements and three loops (D, anti-codon, and T loops). Lineage: Eukaryota; Metazoa; Chordata; Mammalia; Proboscidea; Elephantidae. The record is from Rfam by way of RNAcentral.
CCCUGGGUGGCGCAAACGGGUAAAGCACUUGGCUGCUAACCAAAAGAUUGGUGGUUCAAGUCCACCCAGAGGUA